AACAAAUUAAAUCUAUUUUUUUAGGGUUCCGUAGCCAAAUGGCAAAAAACGGAACCCUUAUGGAUUCGUCAUGUCUGUCUGUCUGUCCGUCCGUAUGUCACAGCCACUUUUUUCCGAAACUAUAAGAACUAUACUGUUGAAACUUGGUAAGUAGAUGUAUUCUGUGAACCGCAUUAAGAUUUUCACACAAAAAUAGAAAAAAAAACAAUAAAUUUUGGGGGUUUCUAAUAUCAUUUUUUUCUAAACUGAAUAGUUUGCGCGAGACACACUUCCAAAGUGGUAAAAUGUGUGUCCCCACCUGUAACUUCUAAAAUAAGAGAAUGAUAAAACUAAAAAAAAAUAUAAUUAUGAUGUACCUUACCAUGCAAACUUCCACCGAAAAUUGGUUUGAACGAGAUCUAGGAAGUACUUUUUUUUUAAUACGUCAUAAAUCAACUGAAACUCAAUUUUUUUUCAUCAAACCCAUACGUGUGGGGUACCUAUGGAUAGGUCUUCAAAAAUGAUAUUGAGGUUUCUAAUAUCAUUUUUUUCUAAACUGAAUAGUUUGCGCGAGAGACACUUCCAAAGUGGUAAAAUGUGUCCCCCCCCCUGUAACUUCUAAAAUAAGAGAAUGAUAAAACUAAAAAAAAUAUAUGAUGUACAUUACCAUGCAAACUUCCACCGAAAAUUGGUUUGAACGAGAUCUAGUAAGUAGUUUUAUUUUUAUACGUCAUUAAUCGUACGGAACCCUCGAUGGGCGAGUCCGACUCGCACUUGUCC
Cydia splendana is the source of this 759-nucleotide long non-coding RNA. RefSeq lists it as uncharacterized. The record is from RefSeq and is a predicted model, not a curated record. NCBI's taxonomy places the organism in Eukaryota, Metazoa, Arthropoda, Insecta, Lepidoptera, Tortricidae. The transcript has 4 exons.